UACAGAGGGGGCAAGCGUUAUUCGGAAUUAUUGGGCGUAAAGGGCGCGUAGGCGGCUUGGCAAGUGGAAGGUGAAAUCCCUCGGCUUAACCGAGGAACUGCCCUCCAAACUGCUUUGCUUGAGGCCGGGAGAGGCGAGUGGAAUUCCCAGUGUAGCGGUGAAAUGCGUAGAGAUGUGGAGGAACACCGAUGGCGAAGGCAGCCUUCUGGGCCAACACUGACGCUCAUGCACGAAGGUCAGGGGAGCAAACGGG
This 253-nucleotide ribosomal RNA is filed under the name uncultured bacterium. RNAcentral describes it as "partial 16S ribosomal RNA". It matches the Rfam family "Bacterial small subunit ribosomal RNA", at positions 524 to 776 of the family's 1533-position model. The record is from RNAcentral.